Molecule: ribosomal RNA, 865 nt
Filed under: uncultured bacterium
Lineage: Bacteria
Description: bacterial SSU rRNA
Rfam family: Bacterial small subunit ribosomal RNA
Source: RNAcentral
GAUAAACGCUGGCGGCGUGCCUUAUGCAUGCAAGUCGAACGGUUCCGAUUUAUCGGGAUAGUGGCAAACGGGUGUGUAACGCGUAAGUAAUCUACCCUCAAGUAGGGGAUAACUCUGAGAAAUUGGAGCUAAUACCUUAUGUGGUGAUGGAGUUAAUGCUUCAUCAUUAAAGCCUUCGGGUGCUUGAGGAGGAGCUUGCGUCCGAUUAGCUAGUUGGUAGGGUAAUGGCUUACCAAGGCAGUGAUCGGUAGCUGGUUUGAGAGGAUGGUCAGCCACACUGGGAUUGAGAUACGGCCCAGACUCCUACGGGAGGCAGCAGCAAGGAGUAUUGUGCAAUGGGCGAAAGCCUGACACAGCGACGCCGCGUGGGGGAAGAAGGCCUUCGGGUUGUAAACCCCUUUUCUCAGGGAAGAAUAAUGACGGUACCUGAGGAAGAAGUCACGGCUAACUACGUGCCAGCAGCCGCGGUAAUACGUAGGUGACAAGCGUUAUCCGGAUUUACUGGGUGUAAAGAGGGCGUAGGCGGCUUUUCAAGUCGAGUAUAAAAUCUCCCGGCUUAACUGGGAGGGAUUAUUCGAUACUGUUGGGCUAGAGGACAGUAGAGGGAGGUGGAAUUCCCGGUGUAGUGGUGAAAUGCGUAGAUAUCGGGAGGAACACCAGUGGCGAAGGCGGCCUCCUGGGCUGUUGCUGACGCUGAGGCCCGAAAGCGUGGGGAGCGAACAGGAUUAGAUACCCUGGUAGUCCACGCUGUAAACUAUGGACACUAGGUAUAGGGAGUAUCGACCCUCUCUGUGCCGAAGCUAACGCUUUAAGUGUCCCGCCUGGGGACUACGGCCGCAAGGCUAAAACUCAAAGGAAUUGACGG